GACGGGACCGCACAAGCGGUGGAUGAUGUGGUUAAUUCGAUGCAACGCGAAAACCUUACCCACCUUUGACAUGGCAGGAAUCCCGAAGAGAUUUGGGAGUGCUCGAAAGAGAACCUGCACACAGGUGCUGCAUGGCUGUCGUCAGCUCGUGUCGUGAGAUGUUGGGUUAAGUCCCGCAACGAGCGCAACCCUUGCCAUUAGUUGCUACGAAAGGGCACUCUAAUGGGACUGCCGGUGACAAACCGGAGGAAGGUGGGGAUGACGUCAAGUCCUCAUGCCCCUUAUGACCUGGGCUACACACGUGCUACAAUGGUUGGUACAACGAGUUGCGAGUCGGUGACGGCGAGCUAAUCUCUUAAAGCCAAUCUCAGUUCGGAUUGUAGGCUGCAACUCGCCUACAUGAAGUCGGAAUCGCUAGUAAUCGCGGAUCAGCACGCCGCGGUGAAUACGUUCCCGGGCCUU
Molecule: ribosomal RNA, 462 nt
Filed under: uncultured Allobrachymonas sp.
Lineage: Bacteria; Pseudomonadati; Pseudomonadota; Betaproteobacteria; Burkholderiales; Comamonadaceae
Description: bacterial SSU rRNA
Rfam family: Bacterial small subunit ribosomal RNA
Source: RNAcentral